CCUACGGGUGGCAGCAGUGGGGAAUAUUGGUCAAUGGGCGCAAGCCUGACCCAGCAACGCCGCGUGAAGGAUGAAUGCUUUCUGGUUGUAAACUUCUUUUCUCAUGGACGUAAAAAGUGACGUUACCUCAGGAAUAAGCCACGGCUAACUACGUGCCAGCAGCCGCGGUAAUACGUAGGGUGCGAGCGUUAAUCGGAAUUGUUGGGCGUAAAGCUCUCGUAGGCGGUAUGUCAAGUCAGGGGUGAAAUCCAGGGGCUCAACGUGGGAACUGCCGUUGAAACUGGCAAACUGGAGUUCGUGAGAGGAAGGUGGAAUUCGAGGUGUAGGAGUGAAAUGCGUAGAUAUCAGGAGGAACAUCAGUGGCGAAGGCGACUAUCUGG
RNAcentral lists this ribosomal RNA (380 nucleotides) under uncultured bacterium. Its description in RNAcentral is "partial 16S ribosomal RNA". It matches the Rfam family "Bacterial small subunit ribosomal RNA", at positions 338 to 732 of the family's 1533-position model. The record is from RNAcentral.